AUUGAACGCUGGCGGCAGGCCUAACACAUGCAAGUCGAACGAGUGGCGGACGGGUGAGUAAUGUCUGGGAAACUGCCUGAUGGAGGGGGAUAACUACUGGAAACGGUAGCUAAUACCGCAUACCAUCGGAUGUGCCAAGAUGGGAUUAGCGAGUAGGUGGGGUAACGGCUCACCUAGGCGACGAUCCCUAGCUGGUCUGAGAGGUUGCCCAGCAACACUGGAACUGAGACACGGUCCAGACUCCUACGGGAGGCAGCAGUGGGGAAUAUUGCACAAUGGGCGAAAGCCGGAUGCAGCCAUGCCGCGUGUAUGAAGAAGGCCCUCGGGUUGUAAAGUACUUUCAGCGGGGAGGCGUUACCCGAAGAAGAAGCACCGGCUAACUCCGUGCCAGCAGCCGCGGUAAUUC
This 406-nucleotide ribosomal RNA is filed under the name uncultured bacterium. RNAcentral describes it as "partial 16S ribosomal RNA". It matches the Rfam family "Bacterial small subunit ribosomal RNA", at positions 30 to 526 of the family's 1533-position model. The record is from RNAcentral.